Long non-coding RNA from Etheostoma cragini (Arkansas darter), 126 nucleotides. RefSeq lists it as uncharacterized. The transcript is spliced from 4 exons. The record is from RefSeq and is a predicted model, not a curated record. Lineage: Eukaryota; Metazoa; Chordata; Actinopteri; Perciformes; Percidae.
AAAAAUAUAAAUAAAGAAAUAAACAGAACACAACUUUUAUUUCUCUUCUAUGAUUCGUUCCGUUUUCUUGUCUCUAUUUCUUCACUUACACUGUCACUCUUUGAAAAUAUGUACACAUCGUGUAUG